GGAAACGGUAGCUAAUACCGCAUAACGUCGCAAGACCNAAGUGGGGGACCUUCGGGCCUCAUGCCAUCAGAUGUGCCCAGAUGGGAUUAGCUGGUAGGUGGGGUAACGGCUCACCUAGGCGACGAUCCCUAGCUGGUCUGAGAGGAUGACCAGCCACACUGGAACUGAGACACGGUCCAGACUCCUACGGGAGGCAGCAGUGGGGAAUAUUGCACAAUGGGCGCAAGCCUGAUGCAGCCAUGCCGCGUGUGUGAAGAAGGCCUUCGGGUUGUAAAGCACUUUCAGCGGGGAGGAAGGCGAUAAGGUUAAUAACCUYGUCGAUUGACGUUACCCGCAGAAGAAGCACCGGCUAACUCCGUGCCAGCAGCCGCGGUAAUACGGAGGGUGCAAGCGUUAAUCGGAAUUACUGGGCGUAAAGCGCACGCAGGCGGUCUGUCAAGUCGGAUGUGAAAUCCCCGGGCUCAACCUGGGAACUGCAUUCGAAACUGGCAGGCUAGAGUCUUGUAGAGGGGGGUAGAAUUCCAGGUGUAGCGGUGAAAUGCGUAGAGAUCUGGAG
This 556-nucleotide ribosomal RNA is filed under the name Klebsiella sp. ICBR 129. RNAcentral describes it as "bacterial SSU rRNA". It matches the Rfam family "Bacterial small subunit ribosomal RNA", at positions 152 to 703 of the family's 1533-position model. The record is from RNAcentral. Lineage: Bacteria; Pseudomonadati; Pseudomonadota; Gammaproteobacteria; Enterobacterales; Enterobacteriaceae.